AAUCAACGCUGGCGGCGUGCCUAACACAUGCAAGUCGAACGCGAAAGUCCCGCAAGGGAUGAGUAGAGUGGCAAACGGGUGAGUAACGCGUGGGUGACCUGCCUUCGAGCGGGGGAUAACGUCCCGAAAGGGACGCUAAUACCGCAUAACAUCCUGCUUUUUAACAAGUGGAGAUCAAAGCUGGGGAUCGCAAGACCUAGCACUCGAAGAGGGGCCCGCGUCUGAUUAGCUAGUUGGUGAGGUAACGGCUCACCAAGGCGACGAUCAGUAUCCGGCCUGAGAGGGCGGACGGACACACUGGGACUGAGACACGGCCCAGACUCCUACGGGAGGCAGCAGUGGGGAAUUGUUCGCAAUGGGCGCAAGCCUGACGACGCAACGCCGCGUGGAGGAUGAAGACCU
RNAcentral lists this ribosomal RNA (402 nucleotides) under uncultured bacterium. RNAcentral describes it as "bacterial SSU rRNA". It matches the Rfam family "Bacterial small subunit ribosomal RNA", at positions 32 to 417 of the family's 1533-position model. The record is from RNAcentral.